RNAcentral lists this ribosomal RNA (559 nucleotides) under Drosophila melanogaster (fruit fly). RNAcentral's name for it is "eukaryotic LSU rRNA". It matches the Rfam family "Eukaryotic large subunit ribosomal RNA", at positions 1796 to 2285 of the family's 3401-position model. Lineage: Eukaryota; Metazoa; Arthropoda; Insecta; Diptera; Drosophilidae. The record is from RNAcentral.
CCUCGGACCUUGAAAAUUAUGGUGGGGACACGCAAACUUCUCAACAGGCCGUACCAAUAUCCGCAGCUGGUCUCCAAGGUGAAGAGUCUCUAGUCGAUAGAAUAAUGUAGGUAAGGGAAGUCGGCAAAUUAGAUCCGUAACUUCGGGAUAAGGAUUGGCUCUGAAGAUUGAGAUAGUCGGGCUUGAUUGGGAAACAAUAACAUGGUUUAUGUGCUCGUUCUGGGUAAAUAGAGUUUCUAGCAUUUAUGUUAGUUACUUGUUCCCCGGAUAGUUUAGUUACGUAGCCAAUUGUGGAACUUUCUUGCUAAAAUUUUUAAGAAUACUAUUUGGGUUAAACCAAUUAGUUCUUAUUAAUUAUAACGAUUAUCAAUUAACAAUCAAUUCAGAACUGGCACGGACUUGGGGAAUCCGACUGUCUAAUUAAAACAAAGCAUUGUGAUGGCCCUAGCGGGUGUUGACACAAUGUGAUUUCUGCCCAGUGCUCUGAAUGUCAAAGUGAAGAAAUUCAAGUAAGCGCGGGUCAACGGCGGGAGUAACUAUGACUCUCUUAAGGUAGCCA